UCAUCAGCACUUGCUGUUUUUCACCUUCCUAGUUUUUGCCAAGCAGAUAAGCCAGUAUUCCUGUGUGGUUCUAAUUUCUCUGAUUAAUGGUGAGGACAAAGAUUUCUUUAUAGACUUAAUAGCCUUCUAUGAAUUGCCUUUUUGUGUGUCUUGCUUAUUUUCCUAUUGGAUUUCCUGUAUUUUUCUUACUGAUUGUAGGAGUUGCUUGUGUAUUGGAUAACAAGCCCAUUUAUUCGUAAAUAAAGGAAGCUUUGUAAUGGCCAAAGCCCUUUAGCCUGUUAAAGCAGAACUGUCACCAUUGUAUAUUAUUUUAUUUUGAAUGGGUCAUACAUAUGUAUAAAACAUACACGUAAAAUGUGAAUAAUAGUUAUAAAUAAAGACUCAGGUGCCACUGCUCCAGUGAUGGCCUCAACACCAUUUAUUAUUCGUCUCCGACUGGAGAUGUCACCUUUAGCAUACACUAUGGACAUCUGUAUACUUAGAUCUAUUUCUGGACUUUCUAUUUAAUUUUCCAUUUUUGGAUGUCGUUAUCAAGAAUGAAUGUUGAUUUUUUUUCCAAUGCCUUUUCAGCUUAGAUGGAGAUGGUCAUACGACUUUUCUCCUCCUGCUGAAUCACUCUUUGCCUGCCUGGAAUAAGCUCCCUUUGAUCAUGUUAUCUCAUUAUUUUAAUGUGCUGUGGAACUCUUCUGGCUGUUAUUUAACUUAGGAUUGUCCCUCAACAUCUCAGGUUGGUGGGCAUCGCAAGAUGUUCCUGUCUUCAAAGAAUUGCCCUUGGCCAAAUGGAAGCAGCCUGGGCCAAUCAAUCAUUUACACAUUCCCAACUGGAGACAGCUCACAACUCAUAACUUGCUGGCAUGGGAGCGCAGAGGUCUAGCCCUUGGCUUCAAGGGUCUCACUCUGUCACCCAGGCUGGAAAACAUUAGCAUCAUCUCGGCUCACUGCAGCCUCCAAAUCCAGAGCUCAGCUUAUCUUCUCACCUCGGCCUCCAAAGCAGCUGGAACCACAUGUGUGCACCAACCUACAUGGCUAUUUUUUUAAAAAAAAUUUUUUUGUUUUAUAGAAAACGAGUCUGGCUUUGUUGCCAAGGCCGAACUCCUGGGCUCAAGCGAUUCUCCACCUUGGCCUCCCAGAGUUCUCAGAUAACAGGCGUGAGUCACGGCGUCCAGUCUUUGGUUCUAUUUUAAAGGUGAAUGGAAAGGCUCUGCUCAGCGUUCAAACAACACUGCCCAACCUCUGUGCAAAGAGGCGGGGAGUUUUGUUAACUGACACAAUCAGCAACGGAUUUGAACAGAAUCUGCAAGGAAG
Molecule: long non-coding RNA, 1305 nt
Filed under: Callithrix jacchus (white-tufted-ear marmoset)
Lineage: Eukaryota; Metazoa; Chordata; Mammalia; Primates; Cebidae
Description: lncRNA (ENSCJAG00000077939.1)
Source: RNAcentral